UCAUUCUGUAGCAAAAAAGGGAAAAAAAAGGGGCUGGGUUUACGAGCCAAUGCAAAUAGGCUUAACCCAUCCCACAGUCUGCUGUUUGUAUUGUACUAGCAAGAAAUCGGAAAUAAGUCUAAAAUAUGUGGCAGCGUCUACUAACAAGUCAGUGUUACUGCUGAUAGUUAAAUAUAGGAGACAAUAUUGACGGCGAAAAAAAAGAUUAUGGAAAACCGUCUAUUGGAUGUGAUUGUCCUAUGGAUAACACUUGCGGGACUGUGUUCUGGUGACUUCGUGUCACAGAUUCCACAUGUUCAAACUGCCGAAGGACAAAACGUUACGCUGAACUGCACAUACAACACCUCAAGCAGUAGCACUCUUUAUCUGCAGUGGUACCAGCACUUACCCACUGCAGCCCCACGUUACCUUCUUCAGAGAUUUUCGACAGGUGGUGGAGAUGACAACGGAGUAAAAGACGGUCGAUUUUCAGCUGAACUGAACCAUUCUAAGCGGUUUAUACAGUUAACACUGCGAGAAGUUAAACUGUCUGACUCUGCCAUGUACUACUGUGGUCUGAGCACCACAGUGCAUCAGGGCUGUUACUUGGCGUGAACAAAAACAACAGAACUAAAGCUGUACGGUUUGCAAACGAUUGCAAACUAAUUCAAUUCUCUAAUUUUUUAUUAAUUACAAAUCCUAAUGGAAUUAUUUUAUGAUUUUUCAUUUAAAAGCACUGAAGCUCAAAAUUAGUAUUGCAACACUGUUUGAUUUUAUGUAUGAUUUGGAAAAUGUACACAGGUAAGAAAAUGCAUUUCCUAAUGAGUUGCAUUACAGUUGGCCUCCACCAGUGAAUGAUUGCAAUAAUUUACAAUAUAAUAUAAUAAAAUAUUUUUAAAAAUGAAGAAUAGCUUCAAUGAUAGAGCUGUCAAAACAGAGGAAAUAGUAAAAAAAUGUAUUAAUUUUGCUUGAAUUAACAUUUUUUGUUGUUUUUGCUUCAAGAUUCUUCAGUGAUGAUAUACACACUGAAAAUAGACAAACUCAGGGCUUGAUUAUCUAAAUUAUUGUAUUUGUUGAAUAAAAUAAAAACAUUGUUAAAUCUGUUUAAUCCAAUGGGUCACAGAGAGUCAGAAGCAGUAGGUGCAUUCUUGUCCUGGACCGGACUCAAAAGUAUCAGAAGGCCCUCUUACAAGCACACAUCCACACUCACAGUUACACAGGGCCAGUUUGGAAUCACCAAUUAAUCCAACCACUAUGUGUUUGUGGAUGUUGGAGGAAACUUUGGAAAACAUAACUGUGAAAAUCAACUAUUUUUUAUUAUACUUAAGUACAGAAGUGUAGAGGUUUUCAUCUUGUAUUCACUUAACUUAAAUCAACUUAUCCUGUUUUGUUUUUGUCGUCUGUUUUCAUAUUUUAUUUAUCAAUAUAGAGGACUAAUGCUUAAAUCUGCAUUUCAAGAAAACAAGGUGUAAAUCUACAAAACAAAUUAUUUUUUGAUAUACGAGUAUUUUAACCAUUUAUCCAUUUUCUAUC
Non-coding RNA from Polypterus senegalus (gray bichir), 1512 nucleotides. NCBI's taxonomy places the organism in Eukaryota, Metazoa, Chordata, Cladistia, Polypteriformes, Polypteridae. The record is from the annotation of a RefSeq genome assembly.